RNAcentral lists this ribosomal RNA (254 nucleotides) under uncultured bacterium. Its description in RNAcentral is "partial 16S ribosomal RNA". It matches the Rfam family "Bacterial small subunit ribosomal RNA", at positions 524 to 776 of the family's 1533-position model. The record is from RNAcentral.
UACGUAGGGGGCAAGCGUUGUCCGGAUUUAUUGGGCGUGAAGAGCUCGUAGGUGGUUUGGUAAGUCGGAUGUGAAAUCUCCAGGCUCAACCUGGAGGGGUCAUUCGAUACUGCCAUGACUAGAGGUCGGUAGGGGAGUGUGGAAUUCCUGGUGGAGCGGUGAAAUGCGCAGAUAUCAGGAGGAACACCGGUGGCGAAGGCGGAUCUCUGGGCCUUACCUGACGCUCAGGUGCGAAAGCUAGGGGAGCGAACAGG